RNAcentral lists this ribosomal RNA (539 nucleotides) under uncultured bacterium. Its description in RNAcentral is "bacterial SSU rRNA". It matches the Rfam family "Bacterial small subunit ribosomal RNA", at positions 777 to 1320 of the family's 1533-position model. The record is from RNAcentral.
AAUAGAUACCCCGGUAGUCCACGCCGUAAACGAUGGAUACUAGCUGUUCGGUCGCAAGAUUGAGUGGCUAAGCGAAAGUGAUAAGUAUCCCACCUGGGGAGUACGAACGCAAGUUUGAAACUCAAAGGAAUUGACGGGGGCCCGCACAAGCGGUGGAGCAUGUGGUUUAAUUCGAUGAUACGCGAGGAACCUUACCAAGGCUUAAAUGUAGUAUUGACAGGACUGGAAACAGUUUUUUCUUCGGACAAUUUACAAGGUGCUGCAUGGUUGUCGUCAGCUCGUGCCGUGAGGUGUCAGGUUAAGUCCUAUAACGAGCGCAACCCCUGUUGUUAGUUGCCAGCGAGUCAAGUCGGGAACUCUAACAAGACUGCCAGUGUAAACUGUGAGGAAGGUGGGGAUGACGUCAAAUCAUCACGGCCCUUACGCCUUGGGCUACACACGUGCUACAAUGGCCGGUACAGAGAGCAGCCACUGCGCGAGCAGGAGCGAAUCUAUAAAACCCGGUCACAGUUCGGAUCGGAGUCUGCAACUCGACUCCG